This 1001-nucleotide ribosomal RNA is filed under the name uncultured bacterium. RNAcentral's name for it is "bacterial SSU rRNA". It matches the Rfam family "Bacterial small subunit ribosomal RNA", at positions 355 to 1375 of the family's 1533-position model. The record is from RNAcentral.
UGGGGAAUAUUGCACAAUGGGGGAAACCCUGAUGCAGCGACGCCGCGUGAGCGAAGAAGUAUUUCGGUAUGUAAAGCUCUAUCAGCAGGGAAGAUAAUGACGGUACCUGACUAAGAAGCCCCGGCUAACUACGUGCCAGCAGCCGCGGUAAUACGUAGGGGGCAAGCGUUAUCCGGAAUUACUGGGUGUAAAGGGUGCGUAGGUGGUAUGGCAAGUCAGAAGUGAAAACCCAGGGCUUAACUCUGGGACUGCUUUUGAAACUGUCAGACUGGAGUGCAGGAGAGGUAAGCGGAAUUCCUAGUGUAGCGGUGAAAUGCGUAGAUAUUAGGAGGAACACCAGUGGCGAAGGCGGCCUACUGGGCACCAACUGACGCUGAGGCUCGAAAGUGUGGGUAGCAAACAGGAUUAGAUACCCUGGUAGUCCACACCGUAAACGAUGAUUACUAGGUGUUGGAGGAUUGACCCCUUCAGUGCCGCAGUUAACACAAUAAGUAAUCCACCUGGGGAGUACGACCGCAAGGUUGAAACUCAAAGGAAUUGACGGGGGCCCGCACAAGCAGUGGAGUAUGUGGUUUAAUUCGAAGCAACGCGAAGAACCUUACCAGGUCUUGACAUCCGAUGCAUAGCUUAGAGAUAAGUGAAGUCCUUCGGGACAUCGAGACAGGUGGUGCAUGGUUGUCGUCAGCUCGUGUCGUGAGAUGUUGGGUUAAGUCCCGCAACGAGCGCAACCCCUAUCUUUAGUAGCCAGCAAUUCGGAUGGGCACUCUAGAGAGACUGCCAGGGAUAACCUGGAGGAAGGUGGGGACGACGUCAAAUCAUCAUGCCCCUUAUGACCAGGGCUACACACGUGCUACAAUGGCGUAAACAGAGGGAAGCAGCCUCGUGAGAGUGAGCAAAUCCCAAAAAUAACGUCUCAGUUCGGAUUGUAGUCUGCAACUCGACUACAUGAAGCUGGAAUCGCUAGUAAUCGCGGAUCAGAAUGCCGCGGUGAAUACGUUCCC